Molecule: ribosomal RNA, 2929 nt
Filed under: Escherichia coli O22:H8
Lineage: Bacteria; Pseudomonadati; Pseudomonadota; Gammaproteobacteria; Enterobacterales; Enterobacteriaceae
Description: 23S ribosomal RNA
Rfam family: Bacterial large subunit ribosomal RNA
Source: RNAcentral
GGGUUGUGAGGUUAAGCGACUAAGCGUACACGGUGGAUGCCCUGGCAGUCAGAGGCGAUGAAGGACGUGCUAAUCUGCGAUAAGCGUCGGUAAGGUGAUAUGAACCGUUAUAACCGGCGAUUUCCGAAUGGGGAAACCCAGUGUGUUUCGACACACUAUCAUUAACUGAAUCCAUAGGUUAAUGAGGCGAACCGGGGGAACUGAAACAUCUAAGUACCCCGAGGAAAAGAAAUCAACCGAGAUUCCCCCAGUAGCGGCGAGCGAACGGGGAGCAGCCCAGAGCCUGAAUCAGUGUGUGUGUUAGUGGAAGCGUCUGGAAAGGCGCGCGAUACAGGGUGACAGCCCCGUACACAAAAAUGCACAUACUGUGAGCUCGAUGAGUAGGGCGGGACACGUGGUAUCCUGUCUGAAUAUGGGGGGACCAUCCUCCAAGGCUAAAUACUCCUGACUGACCGAUAGUGAACCAGUACCGUGAGGGAAAGGCGAAAAGAACCCCGGCGAGGGGAGUGAAAAAGAACCUGAAACCGUGUACGUACAAGCAGUGGGAGCACGCUUAGGCGUGUGACUGCGUACCUUUUGUAUAAUGGGUCAGCGACUUAUAUUCUGUAGCAAGGUUAACCGAAUAGGGGAGCCGAAGGGAAACCGAGUCUUAACUGGGCGUUAAGUUGCAGGGUAUAGACCCGAAACCCGGUGAUCUAGCCAUGGGCAGGUUGAAGGUUGGGUAACACUAACUGGAGGACCGAACCGACUAAUGUUGAAAAAUUAGCGGAUGACUUGUGGCUGGGGGUGAAAGGCCAAUCAAACCGGGAGAUAGCUGGUUCUCCCCGAAAGCUAUUUAGGUAGCGCCUCGUGAAUUCAUCUCCGGGGGUAGAGCACUGUUUCGGCAAGGGGGUCAUCCCGACUUACCAACCCGAUGCAAACUGCGAAUACCGGAGAAUGUUAUCACGGGAGACACACGGCGGGUGCUAACGUCCGUCGUGAAGAGGGAAACAACCCAGACCGCCAGCUAAGGUCCCAAAGUCAUGGUUAAGUGGGAAACGAUGUGGGAAGGCCCAGACAGCCAGGAUGUUGGCUUAGAAGCAGCCAUCAUUUAAAGAAAGCGUAAUAGCUCACUGGUCGAGUCGGCCUGCGCGGAAGAUGUAACGGGGCUAAACCAUGCACCGAAGCUGCGGCAGCGACACUAUGUGUUGUUGGGUAGGGGAGCGUUCUGUAAGCCUGUGAAGGUGUGCUGUGAGGUAUGCUGGAGGUAUCAGAAGUGCGAAUGCUGACAUAAGUAACGAUAAAGCGGGUGAAAAGCCCGCUCGCCGGAAGACCAAGGGUUCCUGUCCAACGUUAAUCGGGGCAGGGUGAGUCGACCCCUAAGGCGAGGCCGAAAGGCGUAGUCGAUGGGAAACAGGUUAAUAUUCCUGUACUUGGUGUUACUGCGAAGGGGGACGGAGAAGGCUAUGUUGGCCGGGCGACGGUUGUCCCGGUUUAAGCGUGUAGGCUGGUUUUCCAGGCAAAUCCGGAAAAUCAAGGCUGAGGCGUGAUGACGAGGCACUACGGUGCUGAAGCAACAAAUGCCCUGCUUCCAGGAAAAGCCUCUAAGCAUCAGGUAACAUCAAAUCGUACCCCAAACCGACACAGGUGGUCAGGUAGAGAAUACCAAGGCGCUUGAGAGAACUCGGGUGAAGGAACUAGGCAAAAUGGUGCCGUAACUUCGGGAGAAGGCACGCUGAUAUGUAGGUGAAGUCCCUCGCGGAUGGAGCUGAAAUCAGUCGAAGAUACCAGCUGGCUGCAACUGUUUAUUAAAAACACAGCACUGUGCAAACACGAAAGUGGACGUAUACGGUGUGACGCCUGCCCGGUGCCGGAAGGUUAAUUGAUGGGGUCAGCGCAAGCGAAGCUCUUGAUCGAAGCCCCGGUAAACGGCGGCCGUAACUAUAACGGUCCUAAGGUAGCGAAAUUCCUUGUCGGGUAAGUUCCGACCUGCACGAAUGGCGUAAUGAUGGCCAGGCUGUCUCCACCCGAGACUCAGUGAAAUUGAACUCGCUGUGAAGAUGCAGUGUACCCGCGGCAAGACGGAAAGACCCCGUGAACCUUUACUAUAGCUUGACACUGAACAUUGAGCCUUGAUGUGUAGGAUAGGUGGGAGGCUUUGAAGUGUGGACGCCAGUCUGCAUGGAGCCGACCUUGAAAUACCACCCUUUAAUGUUUGAUGUUCUAACGUUGACCCGUAAUCCGGGUUGCGGACAGUGUCUGGUGGGUAGUUUGACUGGGGCGGUCUCCUCCUAAAGAGUAACGGAGGAGCACGAAGGUUGGCUAAUCCUGGUCGGACAUCAGGAGGUUAGUGCAAUGGCAUAAGCCAGCUUGACUGCGAGCGUGACGGCGCGAGCAGGUGCGAAAGCAGGUCAUAGUGAUCCGGUGGUUCUGAAUGGAAGGGCCAUCGCUCAACGGAUAAAAGGUACUCCGGGGAUAACAGGCUGAUACCGCCCAAGAGUUCAUAUCGACGGCGGUGUUUGGCACCUCGAUGUCGGCUCAUCACAUCCUGGGGCUGAAGUAGGUCCCAAGGGUAUGGCUGUUCGCCAUUUAAAGUGGUACGCGAGCUGGGUUUAGAACGUCGUGAGACAGUUCGGUCCCUAUCUGCCGUGGGCGCUGGAGAACUGAGGGGGGCUGCUCCUAGUACGAGAGGACCGGAGUGGACGCAUCACUGGUGUUCGGGUUGUCAUGCCAAUGGCACUGCCCGGUAGCUAAAUGCGGAAGAGAUAAGUGCUGAAAGCAUCUAAGCACGAAACUUGCCCCGAGAUGAGUUCUCCCUGACCCUUUAAGGGUCCUGAAGGAACGUUGAAGACGACGACGUUGAUAGGCCGGGUGUGUAAGCGCAGCGAUGCGUUGAGCUAACCGGUACUAAUGAACCGUGAGGCUUAACCUUACAACGCCGAAGGUGUUU